GUGAAUGUUAGUUUAGUAUGAGCAUAUUUUUCUGUGAGUCGGUUGUCGGUAACUGGUGGUAAUUAUCCAGCCAAAAACGAUAACUAAAAGGAAGGUCACAUAUGAUUGUGAUUUAUAAAUACUUUACUACCACCCAAUUGCAGUAACGGUGCGCAUGGCCGUCUAAUGUUUGUGGAAAUUACUGUGCAGAAAGGAUAUUUUAUAUUUCGCGUUGUAGGACGUAAAAAUUCAAUAUUCGCGAUGUCUCUGCUUUUAUUUUUCCCUAACUACAGGAUUUCACUUGCUUUAAUGGGCGCGGGAAACAAAUUAAAGGUAUUGCGCUAAUAAAUGUUCAUCUAUAAUAUGAAUAACUACACAUGAGUAACAUACAAUGCCAAAUUUUCUGUCAAGUACAUAUUCGAAAGUACGUGUUACGUAAUGAUACAUUGCAUCGCUGCAUCGUGGAGUUAGUCUACUCUCAAUCAUAUUUCGUGAGUGUUAGCUUAUUUGAUGCAGUCAUAAAAAUAAUCUUUACAUUCAAAUUAACUUUGAAUAAAAAAUAUAUUUAAAUAAAAGGGGCAUACUCUUUUUUCUUAAGAACAAAUACAUAUGAAUUUAGUUAUCGUGCGUAAAUUCAACAACAAAAAUAUAAUUUACCACAAUGAAUAGGACAGAGUGUGAAAAUAUGGCAGCAUCACUGAGAUGGUCAGAUCCAGCGAAUAUAAUAUCGUUAGCUAUACUUCUAUUUAUCAUACUCUUAGUAAUUUCCGGAAAUU
Long non-coding RNA from Bactrocera tryoni, 755 nucleotides. RefSeq lists it as uncharacterized. The transcript has 3 exons. The record is from RefSeq and is a predicted model, not a curated record. NCBI's taxonomy places the organism in Eukaryota, Metazoa, Arthropoda, Insecta, Diptera, Tephritidae.